Molecule: long non-coding RNA, 8309 nt
Filed under: Homo sapiens (human)
Lineage: Eukaryota; Metazoa; Chordata; Mammalia; Primates; Hominidae
Description: long non-coding RNA NONHSAT195942.1
Source: RNAcentral
UUUUGGAAGUAACAAGAAGGGAUGAAAUGAAUAUCAUGAAGAAGAGUGACUGCUUCAAGUGAGGAAAGUACAGGAUCUUCAAAUGAAAGGAUUGUAGCCUCCUCAUGCAGAAGAAAAAAAUGGAAAAAAGUCGGCCGGGCUCAGUCUCAAAUUUAUUUUACAUUCCUUCCAUACUAACUCUUCUCCUUGCAUGUAGACAGACUUGUGGCUGCUUUCAAUGACUUCUGAAAUUAGGUCAUUAAAAGUCAUACAUUCUUUGGCUAGUAAUCUUGGGUUACUCACUCAUGAGAGGCCAAGCUUUAUCUAGGAAGUUCAACUACUCGAGACUGUCAUGCUCAUAUCCUUUAGAAAUAUGGAACAUUCUGGGAGGCCGAGGUGGGCGGAUCACGAGGUCAGGAGAUUGAGACCAUCCUGGCUAACACGGUGAAACCCCGUCUCUACUAAAAAUACAAAAAAAUUAGCCGGGCGUGGCGGCGGGCGCCUGUAGUCCCAGCUACUUGGGAGGCUGAGGCAGGAGAAUGGUGCGAACCCGGGAGGCAGAUUUUGCAGAGAGCCGAGAUCGUGCCACUGCACUCCAGCCUGGGCGACAGAGCAAGACUCCGUCUCAAAACAAAAAACAAACAAACAAAUAUGGAGCAUUCUGAUAUGAAUAAGACACUUGCUCACUUCUCAAUUCCUUGGUGUCCAGCUCUACAAGUGUAUAUAGACUUCCAAAGAAUAUUUAAAUCCUUUAACAAAAAUGCCACCUAAGAAAAUAUGAAAUACUUCAGUCUGUCUGUCAGUGCUCACUUCCUGUCUAGAAACUUUCAGUAAUAAUUCAGGCAUGAGGACACCUUCCUGUGUGUGCAAAACCUCUCAUAUUUUUCAGUGUGGCUCCGGCACAAAUGAACCAUGUUCUUCGCCUAAGUCAUUUAUGGAACAUCUGCUUUCGGUUUAGCAUCAGGGGAAACAAAGCAAAGAAGAAUGACACUGAAGAAUCAAAAAAAAAAAUGAGCAUAAGACCCAUGAAGAUUACAGACACAUACACUCCUAAAAUUAAACAUUAAGCGGAAUAAAAAUAAUCCCAGAUUGUGUGCUAUUAAUCCAGGUCUUCCAAGAAACAAAUGCCAAGAUGGUAUUAAACAUGAAAUGAUUUUAAUUGUUUACAUGCCUGAAAGUAAAUAAAGAGGGUGCCAGCUAAGGCUGAAAAAGUCUUCAGUGAUAUAAAUUUUACCACACUUAAAGAGAGAGAGGAAAAGUUUAAGUGGAAGCUCCUACUCAGCCAUGCUGUCUAAGGAAGAUUUGGCAAAACCUUGAGCUAAAGUCAGCCAACGGAAAUCCCACCUUUCUCCAAAGAAUGGAUCUGCUUUACUAUCUUGCUUGGUCUUAUUGCUUUGUGACCUAGUAAUAUCUUUCUCGAGUGCAUGAAACAUCUCAGAAAUGCAAACAUCAAGGAAGAUACUAAUCCUUUCUUCCAGUUUCUGUGUGAGGGUUGGAGGCUGACUUUGGUGGUGAUCUUGCUCCAAAUUAUAGAACUACAUCCUGUCAUGAAGAGAAGUUUGUCUUCUCGAUAAAGCCAAGUAGCUAACAGAGAUGGUCACCCCAAUUACCAGAUGGACAUAAUUAUACUUGAAUGCUGACCUACAACAUUUUGUGCUGUGCAGAGGCUUUGAAAAUCAAACAACUUUGAAAAUACAAAGCACCGCGUGGAGGUUUCUUUGAUUUCUAAAGAAAUGCAUUUCUAAAAGUCUUAUGCUGUAAGGAUGCUGGAUGCGUAGUUUGACCAAUUAUGGCUCUUGAUGUCGACUGAAGUGGUCACUUGAUUCCUAGGGCCUCACUCUGUCGCUCAGGCUGGAGUGGCACGAUCUUGGCUCACUGCAGUCUCUGCCUCCUCCUCUUGGAUGCAAGCAAUUCGGCCUCCAAGUAGCUGAGAUUACAGAGAGGCUGAAAACUCAAGAAAUGUGGACUAAGUGUGUGGGCAAGUGUGUCACUGCUGACUAAAACUAUGAACAGGCUUUCUUCUCGAGUUGGCUACAUGGUGACUAGUGUCUUCAUGUUUACAGUCAAUCACGGAAGCCAGGAAGUUGAAUUAUCUUGAUUAAAUGGGCAGAGGACACAUGCACUACUGAAAUAAUAGAUUGAGGAAAAGUGACACCAAAACCACAUGUACUGAAAUUCGGGAAGUAAUAGUUUACCUGAAGGAAAUCAGAGUGCUGAUACCUUAAACAGUGUUAUGUUAUUCAAAUUCUGAUCGUUUUGUUGUGUUCCAAAUGUUCUGUGUAUGCAUUUCUUAAAUUACAAUUAAAAUGAAAAAGAGACAGAGUCUCACUCUGUCAUCCAGGCUGGAGUCCAGUGGUAUGAUCUUGGCUCACUGCAAACCUUUGCCUCCCUGGUCCAAGUGAUUCUCCUGCUUCAGCCUCCAAAAGUAGCUAGGACUACAGCUAAUCCUAGUGAAUCCUCCAUGAGGCCAUUGUUCUGAAUGGAAGAAGAGAGAUAUAUGCAAUAGGAAAAGGUGACGUGGAAUCUAUGAGAGUCCCAUGUUUAUGUAGCAUAUUGUGCCUACUGUAUCUAUUCAGGAGGGGAUUCUUAAUAUAAGAGAUACAUUUACAAAAUUGCUUCCAUUACCUACAAACACCAUAAAGAAAAGUAACAGUGAUGCAUAUGGACAGAACUGCAUCACCAGAAGUUAGAGGAGGAAAGCAUUUCCUAUCCAACUUUAAAUGCUGAGAAUGAAUAACCAGGAAAAAUGGUACAGAGGACAAAAUACCAACAAAAGUCUCCAAAAGUGAUGUGAAGAAAAUAAGGGGCUCAUCAUUCUAAAUUCUGCAGGAGAGCAGUAGAAGAAAUCAAGGGAAUCCCACAUUAUGUGGGACUCUGCGACUGUAUUGGACACAUAGAAUAAUCUAGGAUAAUCUCUCUGUCUCAAGAUCUUCAAAUGAAUCGCAGCUGUAACGUCCCUUUUGCCAGGGAAGGCAAUAUAUUCACAGAUUCUGAGGAUUAGGAAUGAGACCUCCUUGGAGCCAUUGUUUAACCUUUCAUAGGCUGGAUAAUAGAGUUUUGCAAACUCAAUUUGGGCAGCUGGACAGUGAUCAGGCAACUUUCCGAGUCCCUGACUCCCACCUAGACUGAGAUUCCAAUGCUAGGUGCCCAGAAGUUUCCAACCAAUGCAAAGGUGGCAGCUGGCAAGGGCCCUGUGCAGCAGUAAGGCGAGUCAUAGACUGAUGAGAGAUCACCAUUGGGAAUGAGCUCCAUUUGCCCACAACAGUGAUCGGCUGAUGGCUCCACCCUCUACUUAGUCGCUUCUGUUUCCUGUCCCAUGGAUUCCUCACCCCACACUAAUGCUUCCAGGAACAACUUCUCAAAUAAAUCACUUGCAGAUUUCUAGAUGAUAUGAAUUAUAUUCAGACCUGAAGAGAGGACAGAAAAAUUCUGGACUUCAAACUCAAUGCAAUGAUUGGAUAAGACUUUCGGAGUAACUUCUUUUGGGAUUGCGUAAGAGAUCAAGACUACAGACUUUGAGGUAAAAACAACCUAGAUUCGUGAGAAGAGGAAGAGUAAAAGAACUGCAGCUUUCCUCCCACUCUUAAGGUAUAAAUAUGAAGUCUAGGUCAUUUCGAGUUGGAGAAGCCCCAGCUACUUCAUAAGUGUGAUGCUAGUUUUGAAUGUGCAUUGAGGGACAGCUGGUGUUGAGAAAAAAGGAAAUUACCUUAAUACCAAUAAUUUCAGCACAGAUUGUCAUGUGGUUGGGAAAAUAUUUGAUAUGAAGACAUUGAAUCCACCUUCUAAAGAAUAACAAGAUAUAUUCAUGAAUGGAAGGAUUUGGUAGGGUACAUGAGGACAGAUAUAAAACUGCACAACCAAUGUUACACAAAGGAGGUUUAUUCUUCUUCACAAGAAAGUGAUGUGUAGAGAUAUUCACUGAAUUAUUGAAGAUUAUAUGUGGCAGAGUCAGCUUGGGGAUCCAGGUUGUCUAAUCCAAAGAUUGUUUAACCGAGAAACAAGGUCAAGGCAUGUUCUUCGAUGCUUGUUCAUUAACAGCUCUGCGGGUGAUGCUCCUAGAGAGGUCUGAUGUGUUGUGUGAUGUUCUCACACAAACUAUGUUAAUUUUUGAUCAGUGAUUGUGAGUUUUAAUUGUGUUGAGGUAACUAGAGAUUUGUUAAGUGGACGUUACUUCAAAAAGGUAAGUUGAAGCAGUAAAUGUUAAAACCAAGGAAUCCCCCAAAUUCUUGCCCUUUAUUUUUUGCAUGUUAAUUCCAGAAAAGAAAAAAAAAAAAGCUUGUGGGUUAACGUGGUAUUUAUGCAAGGCUGCCAAUGUAAAUAUAAUUCUGUGAUUUAAUUUUUUACUGGCAUGACAUUAUAUAUAUGUAUAAAAUGUGCAUACAUAAUAUAUACAUAUGUAUAUAUGUUAUAUAUUAGAUGUGUAUGCAUAUAUAAUAUAUAUUAGAUGUAUAAAAUAUAUUACAUAUAUAAUAAAAUAUUAGAUAUGUAUUAUAUAGUAGUAUAUAUAAAAUAUAUACAUAUCUAAUAAUACAUUAUAGAUCAUGUAUUAAUAUAUACAUAUAUCUAGUAUAUACAAUAUAUACAUAUCUAUUAUAUUUAUACACACAUACAUAUACAUAUGUGUAUGUGUAUGUCUGUGCCUGUGUGUCUUUUUGUCUUGCAAGCUCAAUCUUUAAAAAGAAGAGUUCGAGGAGGGAUGGAGAAGGAAGAGAGUGAUUAUAUAUACAUAUACUGUCCAUGUUUGCUUAGCUAGUAUGAAGCAGAAUCUGGAUUCAAAUUCAAGAAGUCUGAUUCCCAAACAGCCACCCAAUUAGGACCGCUUUGAAAACUCCGAGUCUUCUAUUUGAUAUAAGUAUAGCUCAUUGCCAUGGAAAUAAACAUAUGUUUCUUUUUUAAAUUAAAAAAAAUAUUUUUAUUUUGUUUUCAACAUUUAGCAUUUUUUUGCAUCAAAGUUCUAAGUAGCUGCAUGUCUGUUUAUAAUGUGUAUAUUUGUUGUUUGUUUUUCUGUUUUGUUUCUGUAUAGUUUCUUUGUUUGUAUCACUGGUAAUUUAAUCCCUCAUGCUAUGCUGUGGGAUUAUGUACAACAACACAACUUCUUAGCCUCUUCAAACCCUUUCACUGCAAGCUGCUUUUUUGUGCUUUUUGAAAGAAAAGGAAGAAAAACACAUUGCAUUUUCUUAAGAUAAAAUGAUACCUGCUUCUUCAUUUCCUCCUACUCCUUCCUAUUAUCUUUUGUAGAAAGAAUUGCUGAAUCUAUUGAUAUGUAAUUUUCAUUUAAUUCUCCAACAUCUUAUUGCUAUUUAAAAUGGUUUAAGAAAACUGGCUUAAUAUAGCCAAGAAAAAUUCUAUAGUAAUACUUGUCUGUAAUUUCUCUAUAUUUAAAUAAAAUAUCAUUUCUAUCUUGGAGGUUUGAUUUGGCCAUUUAAAAAUGCUAAUGUUUUAUUGUUUUUUCAAAAAAAUACUACAUGCAUGCUCAUAGUAUAAACAUCAAUGUUUCAUUAGGAUAUAUAGUGAAAAGUCAGUAACUUUACAACCUCUGUUUCAAACCCAACCAGUAAUUUAAGUUGUUUUCAUAACAAAGUGUUAUUAUUUAUCUUCUAAUACCUAUAAAAUAUUUAUUUACUCCCCAAAUUAAAUAGAGUGUUGGUUCUUCAAUGAAGGUAUGAAGUUACUUUCAAUUAAAUAUGCAGUUUGAUUAGAAGAAAAAAAAAUCCAUCAGAUCUCAGCCAAGCUCUUUUGGAUGAUUAUUUUUCUUCAAAAUCAAAUACACUAAAAUUUCCAAACAGUAACAGUUACAAUGUUUCAGUUUCUUUUAAGGUAGCCUGAACUGAGACACAUUAAGGUUUAUAUCUAAUUUCAUAGUUCUGUUCAGUAGGAAAUAAGUAAAUUAGUUUAAAGGACUGAUCCAUAUCAGGAGAUCAGGACUGGACAAAGUGUUAAUUUAUCUACAGAUUUUACCAGGCAGAUUGCCAAUAUCCAAGUUCAUUAGACAGGUCCUAGGACUAAUAAGAACUCUUGGGGGCUACAAUGUGAAAUACCUGAGUAUAUGAGUCAGGUAAAGACUUUAGAAAGUUUGGCUUCUACUCUCAUAUUCCCAGGAGUUGAAUAGAUUGGAGUGGAAAAAAUGUGGUCAAAAACUAGUGAUUUUGGAUUAGAAGUAGGGCAUAAAGCUCCUAUUAUUGCACUUGGGCAAUAUUAACUGGAUUGCAAGAAACUGUAAUAUGCAGAAACAGCAUAUUUCCCUUAGGGAGUACAUUUUGUUAAACUUAGUAUUCUUGCUACCUGUUUUGUUACCUAAGCUUAAUGGACCUGGCCCUAGACUUUAGCUUGGUGCAUGGUGAAAAUUGACCUUAAGCAACUGCAGCAUUGUCCAAAUAUUUGGUUUCACAUAGACCAGUUUUGGUUCUUGUUUCUGUGUGACUUUGAGGGGCUCUUUAAGAAAUCCAAGGACAAGGUGCCACAUUUAUUAAGGCCCCGCCAUUCACAAUGCAUGAUGCUAGAGCCUGACAGUGCACCAUGCUAGAGACUGAAGAGACAUAAAAAAAAGAAAAGGCAGAGUUCUUGCUAUCAGGUUCUUAAAAUUUUCUUUGUUUUGGUUAAAUUCUUGAUUGGAUUUUUUCACUAAAUGUUUGGCCCUAUUAAAAAUAAGUAAAGAAAAAAUGAAGGAAGAAUGGAAGAGAGGGAGAAUAGGAAAUGAAUGAAACAAAGCCAAGUAAGAGAUACGUCUACUACAGACCUGCAAGUUGGCAGUGCUUGCAGAAGACAGUUGACAUAUUCUAGCCUGGUUCACAUUUUCUGGUUAACUUUUGAGCAUAGAAUAAAGAAUAUAAUAAAAUGCUUUUUUUUUUUUUUGCACAAUGAACUUUAAACAAAUCAGGAGAGUAUAUUGGUAAUUUAGAGAAGUAGCAAUUCUCAUUAAAUCUGUUUUUCAUUGAAUUAUCAUGCCCUUAAAAUUAUAUGAUAGAUUAUUAUCUUCGGUAGUAUUAGUUUAAAUAAGAAUUAUAUACAACCAAAAUAUCAGUAAGGCUAAUUCUCUGAGACCAUAAGAGAACCAAGUCAAUAUCCCCAUAGCUACAUCAUAUUGAUCAUUCAUUUGAUUUAAGAAGAAAGAAGACAAAUAUGUUAGUGAAAGGGAGACAAAUGAGUAUGUGCCUGGCCUGGCCAAUUCCUGACUCAUUUACAGAGGAAGCUAAUAUAACUCUCUUACUCAUUUUAUGGGAAAUAUGAUAGAUCUGAUUAUAUAAUUUAUGCCUCCUUUCAGACUUCCUACACCCCACUAAUUGUCUCUUCCUUUCUUUUCUCCACCUUUUGCUCAGGUAUUUGGCAGUUAUUGCACUUUUUUGGAUCUUUUUUUUAAGGAUGUUACUAUCAAUCUUUUGCCUACAUCUAAAUGACUUACCUAUGAAGAAGAUCCCAUUUUUAGCCUUAAUAUUUGCAAAUUACUUGAGAGAUGGAGUCUCACUCUAUCACCCAGGCUGGAGGACAGUGGCACGACCUCAGCUCCCUGCAACCUCCACCUCCCAGGUUACUGAUGGAUCCGUCCUAAAUGCCAUCCAUCUCAAGACAGAGGCCCACAGAAGUCAAUGUAUCUUCAAGAUGGGAGUACCUGGAGAUGGCUGUAGAGACCAUGUAGCAGGAAAUGGUGACAGAGAAGAGCUGGGCCUCUGGUACCAACAUGCUUCCCCCCCGUUACAGCUAUGCGGGCUGAUAGUGACGCAAUGUGUGGUUUCAAUACUUCAUAGUGUCUUACUUCACCUCAGUAUAAAGUACUUUGAAAGCAUCAAGGAAAUGGUCCUCAAAAAAGGCUUAUCCAGUCAGGACAUCUGGUGCUGGCUCUGGAAUGAGUGGAUGAAGAUAAGGCCUUCCAGUAUGGAGGUGAUAAAAAUCAGGGAAGACAGGUAAUCACAAUGGAUGACAGACCAGGAUUCCCAGAUAUCUUGGCAUGGCUGGAACAAUGUACAGAUCAAACCAUGUAAAACUUAAUGGGUAUAAACCAACUCUUCACUUUGGUCUAAAAAAGUCCAUUUGCAUGGCUUCUAGUUAAAGGUGGACAGGCUCACUUUAGAAUCCUAUUAUAUACAAAGGAUUUAGGGGGUUUAGUUCACAAUGUGCUAAAGCCAUCUCACAGUGACCAUGGUAUGAGCUGUGUGAUUUGGUUUAAAUAUAAUAGAGAAUGAAGGACAAGGUUGAGGGUGGUGGUUACAGUCCUGCCUGAUUCUGUAGUGCUCAGGUGACCUUUGAAGAAUGAAGAAAGAAGUCAAAACCCCACACUAUUAAGACAUUGGAAGACUGGGAAUGUUUAUUUUCUGAAGAAUAAAAGAUGUAGGAAA